GAAAACGGCCUUGAUUCAUAAGGCCGCUCCCAACUUCAAGAUCCUGUCCAACAUUGUCUUCUGAAGGUUGGAGUAUAAAGAGGUGACACAGUCCAAAAGACUAAGGAUAUAAGGUCCCUGUCCUUGGGAAAGGCAGCCUUAGAGAGCAGGCAACUUUCUUUGAGAAGAGGAGGGCGAUCCAGCAACAACAACUGAGCAUUCAAGUCUUAGAAGAAUCCUGGAAAGAUUUAUAAAAUACUGGAUAUUGGUACAUCUAGAAAACAGAACGAGCCUGUUGCAGCUGAAAUCCCAGAAGACCUCACAAGUGUGUUAAAUUUUCACAGCUGACCAC
RNAcentral lists this long non-coding RNA (331 nucleotides) under Papio anubis (olive baboon). RNAcentral's name for it is "lncRNA (ENSPANG00000045022.1)". Lineage: Eukaryota; Metazoa; Chordata; Mammalia; Primates; Cercopithecidae. The record is from RNAcentral.